AGGACGAACGCUGGCGGCGUGCUUAACACAUGCAAGUCGAGCGGAAAGGCCCUUCGGGGUACUCGAGCGGCGAACGGGUGAGUAACACGUGAGCAACCUGCCCCUGGCUCUGGGAUAGCUCCGGGAAACCGGGAUUAAUACCGGAUAUGACCUUCCGUUGCAUGACGGCGGGUGGAAAGUUUUUCGGCUGGGGAUGGGCUCGCGGCCUAUCAGCUUGUUGGUGGGGUGAUGGCCUACCAAGGCGACGACGGGUA
RNAcentral lists this ribosomal RNA (254 nucleotides) under uncultured bacterium. Its description in RNAcentral is "partial small subunit ribosomal RNA". It matches the Rfam family "Bacterial small subunit ribosomal RNA", at positions 26 to 285 of the family's 1533-position model. The record is from RNAcentral.